This 29-nucleotide non-coding RNA is filed under the name Mus musculus (house mouse). Lineage: Eukaryota; Metazoa; Chordata; Mammalia; Rodentia; Muridae. The record is from RNAcentral.
UAGUAUUCUGUAGAUUUCUAGCCUCCAGA